RNAcentral lists this ribosomal RNA (119 nucleotides) under Helianthus annuus (common sunflower). The record is from RNAcentral. Lineage: Eukaryota; Viridiplantae; Streptophyta; Magnoliopsida; Asterales; Asteraceae.
GGUUGCGAUCAUAAAAGCACUAAUGCACCGGAUCCCAUCAGAACUCCGCAGUUAAGCGUGCUUUGGCGAGAGUAGUACUAGGAUGGGUGACCCCCUGGGAAGUCCUCGUGUUGCAACCC